Molecule: long non-coding RNA, 1072 nt
Organism: Salvelinus namaycush (lake trout)
Lineage: Eukaryota; Metazoa; Chordata; Actinopteri; Salmoniformes; Salmonidae
Exons: 5
Source: RefSeq, a predicted model, not a curated record
CUCCACUGCAUACAAGACCCACCCGGUGUACAGCUGUACACCGAGACCGGCAAAAUCACGCCACGCCUUGGUUUAUCUCUGCGCACGGGGCUCCACAUCCUUGGAGUCAUUCCACCUCAACCGGUACCAGGGCAAAUGCAAUGCAUUUCCAGGCAUUCCUACUGGAUGGACCGAUGAGGUGGAACGAGGACCGUGCGCAGGCAGCAGUGGAGGGAAAGAACAGGCAGCCCCUGCUCUCCUACAGUGGCCACCUGCAGCACAUCCUUAACCUUAGCAGCCAAAGGGUGCUUGGCAAGGAACAGGGUAAGGACUACUCCAAGCCUAGCGAGUACACGGGGUAACUCCUCGGAGUGGAGUACCUGUACUCGCAGACUGGCAGAGUGCUGCAGGAUGUCAGCGUGGACCCUGGCCUUCCGGAAGAGGCAGCCGCCGUCGCCCAGCUCGACGAGGAGGACGAGGGCUUUCAGGAGGAUGUGGACCCGACAAUCCACAUCCCUCAUGUCACUCAUAUGAGCGCCCCGUCCUCCAGCUCAGCGGCACCUCUGUCAGGGGAACCCGCUGACGCAUCCAGGUCUGGGCCAUCCAGUCCCACCGCCCCUGAAGACGGAAGCUCUCCUGAGGCCCCUGAUCGACACGGUUCUCCUCACCCUGACAACUCCUCUGAUUGAGGGGGAGACGCAAGGCCCUAAUGCAAUGCCUGGCUACCAGCAUGUCCGCAGGCUUGCCAGGGCCUUGGUGGGGGUGAGGAACCGUCAGGGGCUGUCGGACCGCAGGGUAGACGGUCUGGUGGCGCUGUGGCUGGCGCUUGAUCUACCCUGCCCGACACCAGGAGAGGAUCGUUCAGGGGCGGUUCAAGGCAACGAAGGGGAAGUCGUCCAUUGUCAUAGGAAAAGACUCUCUCUAAUGUUGCCUUCUUGGACUCAACUUGGGCCCUGCAAAUUGGCCGGGCACCAGCCGUUUGGUGGAGGCCAUUUGCAGUCAGCUCUGCCAAAUCCAUCCCAGCGCCAUCAGCCUACUUUAUGAUACAGAAUGCAGGGAUGUGUAGUGAACCUGUACCCAUAAUAAAACAAAG